GCCCCACCCACCUAGAGGAGCCUGUUCUAUAAUCGAUAACCCCCGCUUAACCUCACCACUUCUUGCCAAUACCGCCUAUAUACCACCGUCGCCAGCCCACCCCGUGAGGGAAAUAGUAGGCACAAUGAUAAGUCACCAAAACGUCAGGUCAAGGUGUAGCGUAUGAAGUGGAAAGAAAUGGGCUACAUUCUCUAACCUAGAGCACACGAAAAAUCAUAUGAAAUUAGAUUAGAAGGAGGAUUUAGUAGUAAAAAGAAACAAUAGUGUUCUUUUUAAGUUGGCCCUGGGGCGCGCACACACCGCCCGUCACCCUCUUCAACUAAUAAAACACGAUUUAUAAAACACAAAACAAAUACAAGAAGAGGUAAGUCGUAACAUGGUAAGUAUACCGGAAGGUGUGCUUGGAAUUA
RNAcentral lists this ribosomal RNA (410 nucleotides) under Bombina orientalis. RNAcentral's name for it is "partial 12S ribosomal RNA". It matches the Rfam family "Bacterial small subunit ribosomal RNA", at positions 918 to 1533 of the family's 1533-position model. The record is from RNAcentral. Lineage: Eukaryota; Metazoa; Chordata; Amphibia; Anura; Bombinatoridae.